Molecule: ribosomal RNA, 226 nt
Filed under: uncultured bacterium
Lineage: Bacteria
Description: partial 16S ribosomal RNA
Rfam family: Bacterial small subunit ribosomal RNA
Source: RNAcentral
GAUCAUGGCUCAGGACGAACGCUGGCGGCAUGCCUAACACAUGCAAGUCGAACGGAGAUUAUUUCGAUAAUCUUAGUGGCGAACGGGUGAGUAACGCGUGGGCAACCUGCCCUCUAGAUGGGGACAACAUUCCGAAAGGGGUGGCUAAUACCGAAUGUGACAGCAAUCUCGCAUGAGGAUGCUGUGAAAGAUGGCCUCUAUUUAUAAGCUAUCGCUAGAGGAUGGG